Molecule: long non-coding RNA, 276 nt
Filed under: Mytilus galloprovincialis (Mediterranean mussel)
Lineage: Eukaryota; Metazoa; Mollusca; Bivalvia; Mytilida; Mytilidae
Source: RNAcentral
UGACAUGAUGUUCAUCCCGAUUGAUAGUUGCAGGUCUACUUUCAUCAUGUGUGUUUUUAUCAACAGUAACCAAGCUUCAUCUCAUUUGCAUUGCUGCACUGAACUGGCCUACUGUGUGUCUGAUUUUUGGCGUUAAUUAGACAACUGACCAGAGCAGACGCGUCCUCUGUCACUGGAAGGGAACGUACUUGGCUACGUAUGAUCUUCAUAUUAUUCAAUAUGCUUCAUUGCAAUUGGUAGGAGACAAAGACUGAACCUGAAACACCGCCAUAGCCA